UAGGGAAUCUUCGGCAAUGGGGGGAACCCUGACCGAGCAACGCCGCGUGAGUGAAGAAGGUUUUCGGAUCGUAAAGCUCUGUUGUUAAGGAAGAACGAGUGUGAGAAUGGAAAGUUCAUACUGUGACGGUACUUAACCAGAAAGGGACGGCUAACUACGUGCCAGCAGCCGCGGUAAUACGUAGGUCCCGAGCGUUGUCCGGAUUUAUUGGGCGUAAAGCGAGCGCAGGCGGUUAGAUAAGUCUGAAGUUAAAGGCAGUGGCUCAACCAUUGUAGGCUUUGGAAACUGUUUAACUUGAGUGCAGAAGGGGAGAGUGGAAUUCCAUGUGUAGCGGUGAAAUGCGUAGAUAUAUGGAGGAACACCGGUGGCGAAAGCGGCUCUCUGGUCUGUAACUGACGCUGAGACUCGAAAGCGUGGGGAGCGAACAGG
Molecule: ribosomal RNA, 429 nt
Filed under: Bacteroidota bacterium
Lineage: Bacteria; Pseudomonadati; Bacteroidota
Description: Bacteroidetes bacterium partial 16S ribosomal RNA
Rfam family: Bacterial small subunit ribosomal RNA
Source: RNAcentral